AUUGAACACUGGCGGCAGGCCUAACACAUGCCAGUCGAACGGUAACAGGAAGCAGCUUGCUGCUUUGCUGACGAGUGGCGGACGGGUGAGUAAUGUCUGGGAAACUGCCCGAUGGAGGGGGAUAACUACUGGAAACGGUAGCUAAUACCGCAUAACGUCGCAAGACCAAAGAGGGGGACCUUAGGGCCUCUUGCCAGCGGAUGUGCCCAGAUGGGAUUAGCUAGUAGGUGGGGUAACGGCUCACCUAGGCGACGAUCCCUAGCUGGUCUGAGAGGAUGACCAGCCACACUGGAACUGAGACACGGUCCAGACUCCUACGGGAGGCAGCAGUGGGGAAUAUUGCACAAUGGGCGCAAGCCUGAUGCAGCCAUGCCGCGUGUAUGAAGAAGGCCUUCGGGUUGUAAAGUACUUUCAGCGGGGAGGAAGGGAGUAAAGUUAAUACCUUUGCUCAUUGACGUUACCCGCAGAAGAAGCACCGGCUAACUCCGUG
RNAcentral lists this ribosomal RNA (490 nucleotides) under uncultured bacterium. RNAcentral describes it as "partial 16S ribosomal RNA". It matches the Rfam family "Bacterial small subunit ribosomal RNA", at positions 30 to 507 of the family's 1533-position model. The record is from RNAcentral.